Molecule: long non-coding RNA, 682 nt
Filed under: Citrus x clementina
Lineage: Eukaryota; Viridiplantae; Streptophyta; Magnoliopsida; Sapindales; Rutaceae
Description: Citrus clementina (C. clementina) long non-coding RNA (CCLE_LNC005347)
Source: RNAcentral
UUAAAAAUAAUUUUUUUUUUAGUAAAACUUUGUGGAAAGAUGGUUGAUUUUAACAUGUGGAUUGAUAUUUAAUCAAUAAAAUAAAGGGUAUCGUAAGAAAUAAUUCAACUGGGGUGUUAUAAGGAUAUUAGAGGGGUGUUAAAAGCUCGCUCUUAGAAGAACACGGGGAAAUGUUAGCCCAACCACUAGGGGGCCAGGCUGCCAGCCUCAUUCCCAGUGAAACUGAACAAAAAAAAUCCAGAAUUCUCGGAUUACGGCAUCCAUCCUCAUCCAAAUACCAAUGUUAUGUUUGAUUAAUCAAUUUGUUGUAUAAGCAAUCCUUUCCAACCAUUUUUUUUUUCAUAUUUUAUAUGAUAAUAGAAUAUAAGUACAAUAUGAGUAUUAAUAAAUACAACUCAACUCUAUUGAAAUUUAAAGUCCAACCCAAUGCCGAUACCUAUCUUAUGGUGUGUUUACUUGUGGGUUUGGGGAAUGAGAAUGAAACUUAUAUUUACUUCGUAAAAUGUAAUUUGGGAAUAGGAAUAAAUUGUGUGGGUCCCACACAAUUUGGAAAUAAAGAAUGGGAAUCUCAUUCCCAUGAGGGGGUUGGGAAUGAAAAUGUGGGAAUGAAAAUGAAACAUAAAUUUACUUUUUAUCCUUCUAAUUUUUUUCAUAUUUUCUAAAUUACCCUUGUUCAAAUCAC